GGCGAGUGGCGGACGGGUGAGUAACGCGUAGGAAUCUACCUAGAAGUGGGGGGUAACCCGGGGAAACUCGGGCUAAUACCGCAUACGCUCUACGGAGGAAAGCUGGGGACCUUAGGGCCUGGCGCUUUUAGAUGAGCCUGCGUCAGAUUAGCUAGUUGGUGGGGUAAAGGCCUACCAAGGCGACGAUCUGUAGCUGAUUUGAGAGGAUGAUCAGCCACACUGGGACUGAGACACGGCCCAGACUCCUACGGGAGGCAGCAGUGGGGAAUUUUGGACAAUGGGCGAAAGCCUGAUCCAGCAAUGCCGCGUGUGCGAUGACGGCCUUCGGGUUGUAAAGCACUUUCAAUUGUGAAGAAAUGUGCACGGUUAAUACCCGUGUAAGCUGACGUUAACAAUAGAAGAAGCACCGGCUAA
Molecule: ribosomal RNA, 414 nt
Filed under: uncultured Gammaproteobacteria bacterium
Lineage: Bacteria; Pseudomonadati; Pseudomonadota; Gammaproteobacteria
Description: bacterial SSU rRNA
Rfam family: Bacterial small subunit ribosomal RNA
Source: RNAcentral